UGUGCUUACAAGUAGUCAGAGCCCGUUAAUGGGUGAUGGCGUGCCUUUUGUAGAAUGAACCGGCGAGUUACGAUCUGAUGCAAGGUUAAGCAGAAAAUGUGGAGCCGUAGCGAAAGCGAGUCUGAAUAGGGCGAAUGAGUAUUUGGUCGUAGACCCGAAACCAGGUGAUCUACCCUUGGUCAGGUUGAAGUUCAGGUAACACUGAAUGGAGGACCGAACCGACUUACGUUGAAAAGUGAGCGGAUGAACUGAGGGUAGCGGAGAAAUUCCAAUCGAACUUGGAGAUAGCUGGUUCUCUCCGAAAUAGCUUUAGGGCUAGCCUCAAGUGAUGAUUAUUGGAGGUAGAGCACUGUUUGGACGAGGGGCCCCUCUCGGGUUACCGAAUUCAGACAAACUCCGAAUGCCAAAUAAUUUAACUUGGGAGUCAGAAUGUGGGUGAUAAGGUCCAUAUUCGAAAGGGAAACAGCCCAGACCACCAGCUAAGGUCCCAAAAUAUAUGUUAAGUGGAAAAGGAUGUGGCGUUGCCCAGACAACUAGGAUGUUGGCUUAGAAGCAGCCAUCAUUUAAAGAGUGCGUAAUAGCUCACUAGUCGAGUGACACUGCGCCGAAAAUGUACCGGGGCUAAACAUAUUACCGAAGCUGUGGAUUGUCCUUUGGACAAUGGUAGGAGAGCGUUCUAAGGGCGUUGAAGCAUGAUCGCAAGGACAUGUGGAGCGCUUAGAAGUGAGAAUGCCGGUGUGAGUAGCGAAAGACGGGUGAGAAUCCCGUCCACCGAUUGACUAAGGUUUCCAGAGGAAGGCUCGUCCGCUCUGGGUUAGUCGGGUCCUAAGCUGAGGCCGACAGGCGUAGGCGAUGGAUAACAGG
This 864-nucleotide ribosomal RNA is filed under the name Staphylococcus pseudintermedius. Its description in RNAcentral is "partial 23S ribosomal RNA". It matches the Rfam family "Bacterial large subunit ribosomal RNA", at positions 559 to 1429 of the family's 2925-position model. Lineage: Bacteria; Bacillati; Bacillota; Bacilli; Caryophanales; Staphylococcaceae. The record is from RNAcentral.